CGUGUAGGCGGUCAGGUAAGUGGAAUGUGAAAGCCCUCGGCUCACCCGAGGAUCUGCAUUCCAAACUGCCUGGCUUGAGUAUGGGAGAGGAUGAGGGAAUUCCUGGUGUAGCGGUGAAAUGCGUAGAUAUCAGGAGGAACACCGGUGGCGAAGGCGCUCAUCUGGCCCAAUACUGACGCUGAGGCGCGAAGCUAGGGGAGCAAACG
This 206-nucleotide ribosomal RNA is filed under the name uncultured bacterium. Its description in RNAcentral is "partial 16S ribosomal RNA". It matches the Rfam family "Bacterial small subunit ribosomal RNA", at positions 568 to 774 of the family's 1533-position model. The record is from RNAcentral.